This 75-nucleotide transfer RNA is filed under the name Vibrio phage KVP40. RNAcentral's name for it is "tRNA-Lys". It matches the Rfam family "tRNA". From Rfam's summary of the family: Transfer RNA (tRNA) molecules are approximately 80 nucleotides in length. Lineage: Duplodnaviria; Heunggongvirae; Uroviricota; Caudoviricetes; Pantevenvirales; Straboviridae. The record is from RNAcentral. RNAcentral also lists the same sequence under 1 other name.
GGGUCGUUCGUAUAACGGUAGUACAUCUGGCUUUUAACCAGAACGGUGAGAGUUCGAAUCUCUUGCGACCCACCA